Molecule: long non-coding RNA, 290 nt
Filed under: Pan troglodytes (chimpanzee)
Lineage: Eukaryota; Metazoa; Chordata; Mammalia; Primates; Hominidae
Description: long non-coding RNA NONPTRT007245
Source: RNAcentral
AUUUUAAAAGGGCUGCCAUUUAGCAAGGAAAGUAGAUGGCCACUGAGAGCAAAAGGAGACUGAAGGGGUGAAUGUCAGCCAGUCUGAAUGAAGAAGGAACAAGUGAGAGAACUAAGAAGACAGCAUGUCGUGGGCCACAGCAAGGGACAAAAUGAGUCAGAGAAAGUACUGAAGGUCAAAAUCCAGGCCAUCUGGCUACCCUGAGAGCUGCUUUGCUCCUUCAGUUCUGACCCCAUUUCCUCAGGAUCUUGUUCCCUGAGGAGCCAGUCCUGACAUUUCAGACAGAGGCU